RNAcentral lists this transfer RNA (75 nucleotides) under Rhodoferax sp. RNAcentral's name for it is "tRNA-Arg". It matches the Rfam family "tRNA". Rfam says of the family: Transfer RNA (tRNA) molecules are approximately 80 nucleotides in length. Their secondary structure includes four short double-helical elements and three loops (D, anti-codon, and T loops). Further hydrogen bonds mediate the characteristic L-shaped molecular structure. tRNAs have two regions of fundamental functional importance: the anti-codon, which is responsible for specific mRNA codon recognition, and the 3' end, to which the tRNAs corresponding amino acid is attached (by aminoacyl-tRNA synthetases). tRNAs cope with the degeneracy of the genetic code in two manners: having more than one tRNA (with a specific anti-codon) for a particular amino acid; and 'wobble' base-pairing, i.e. permitting non-standard base-pairing at the 3rd anti-codon position. Lineage: Bacteria; Pseudomonadati; Pseudomonadota; Betaproteobacteria; Burkholderiales; Comamonadaceae. The record is from RNAcentral.
CUCGCCAUAGUUCAAUGGAUAGAACGAGUGCCUCCUAAGUGCUAGAUAUAGGUUCGAUUCCUAUUGGCGGGACCA